Manis pentadactyla (Chinese pangolin) is the source of this 371-nucleotide long non-coding RNA. RefSeq lists it as uncharacterized. The record is from RefSeq and is a predicted model, not a curated record. The transcript is spliced from 2 exons. Lineage: Eukaryota; Metazoa; Chordata; Mammalia; Pholidota; Manidae.
AGGUUGUGGGUUUUCUUUGGGAGUAACUCAAGAUCUUGCAUCUUUUGCAUCCCCUUUGGAGGGGUCCUUGGGGCUACUACUUCCAGAAAUUCUUACUGUGUGUCCCAGCUGAAAUCUGAGAAUAUUUUUAGGGGAAUUUACAGAUCAAACAGCUUGCCUGCCCAGCCCCCAAGGUGGGCUGUGUUAUUGUCUGUUUGCUAAAGAGUAAGUUAAGAAUCUUACAUUUUUUAUUUCCUGGGUAUUUAAAAUACAGUCCUUAAGAUGGAAUCCUUCCUGCCUUUCACUAUGUUGUUUACGGCUGGGCCUGCAUGCUAAAUUAGGUGCCUAGGUUAUAAACUACUUAAUUAGGGCCGGAAGGAGAAAAAAAACAA